This 91-nucleotide transfer RNA is filed under the name Nonomuraea spiralis. RNAcentral's name for it is "tRNA-Gly". Lineage: Bacteria; Bacillati; Actinomycetota; Actinomycetes; Streptosporangiales; Streptosporangiaceae. The record is from RNAcentral.
GCCUCCCGUGGUUGGCUGGUGCGGUGCGUGACUACCGCUCGUGGGGGGCUGCGAUAAGGCGGCUGAUGCCGGGUUCGUCCCGAGAGAGGUC